RNAcentral lists this ribosomal RNA (528 nucleotides) under uncultured bacterium. RNAcentral describes it as "bacterial SSU rRNA". It matches the Rfam family "Bacterial small subunit ribosomal RNA", at positions 777 to 1304 of the family's 1533-position model. The record is from RNAcentral.
AAUAGAUACCCGGGUAGUCCAUGCCGUAAACGUUGGGCACUAGGUGUGGGACUCACUCAACGGGUUCCGUGCCGUAGCUAACGCAUUAAGUGCCCCGCCUGGGGAGUACGGCCGCAAGGCUAAAACUCAAAGGAAUUGACGGGGGGCCCGCACAAGCAGCGGAGCAUGUUGCUUAAUUCGAGGCAACGCGAAGAACCUUACCUGGGUUUGACAUGUACGGAAAAGCCGCAGAGAUGCGGUGUCCUUUUGGGCCGUACACAGGUGGUGCAUGGUUGUCGUCAGCUCGUGUCGUGAGAUGUUGGGUUAAGUCCCGCAACGAGCGCAACCCUUGUCCUAUGUUGCCAGCGGGUAAUGCCGGGGACUCGUAGGAGACUGCCGGGGACAACUCGGAGGAAGGUGGGGAUGACGUCAAAUCAUCAUGCCCCUUAUGUCCAGGGCUGCAAACAUGCUACAAUGGCCAGUACAAAGGGCUGCUAUACCGCGAGGUUGAGCGAAUCCCAUAAAGCUGGUCUCAGUUCGGAUUGGAGU